Molecule: long non-coding RNA, 1048 nt
Filed under: Homo sapiens (human)
Lineage: Eukaryota; Metazoa; Chordata; Mammalia; Primates; Hominidae
Description: HSALNT0233823
Source: RNAcentral
GAACUCAGGAAAAUUCUCACGAUUCUGGUUAUUGGGAGGAAAUGUUGUCUCUAUCUAAGUGCAGUUUCCCCUCAACACUAUAAUAUUCUCCCCAGGAAAGAGGGCCUCCUGUUUCUUUUCAAAUGUUGGGGGCUUGCCAGGCCAACAGGUGUCUCCUGGGAUCCUCUGAAACGGUAUGUAUCACUGAUUCUCAAAAGAGGAAAAUUAAGGAGUGUCAAAAAGAGAACGAGAGAGAAGCAGGAUGCUCUGGAGAAUGAAAUGGACUCUAAACAUCUGUGUAUCAAGAUCAUGCUCACAGCCACUGGUGUGCAGAUAAAUGUUUAAUAACUGACUCUCUGAAAAAAUCCGUAUAUGCAUACAUUUAUGAUAAUUUUUUACUGACAUAGAGGAUGUGUAGUACACAAUUUACGAAUGGUAAUAAAAAUAUACAAUACUCUUUACUGUAAAGCCUAUGUAGUCUGUUUCCAGAGAAUGCUUUUGUUGAGUUUUGCCAAUCUAUGGUUACGAUUCAAUCACAAUUUGACAAAUUGAGUUGCAUUCCAAUCCAACAACUCUUUUUUUUUUUGAGACGGAAUUUUGCUCUUGUCACCCAGGCUGGAGUGCAAUGGCACAAUCUCGGCUCACCGCAACCUCCGCCUCCCGGGUUCAAGCGAUUCUCCUGCCUCAGCCUCCCGAGUAGCUGGGAUUACAGACAUGUGCCACUAGGCCUGGCUAAUUUUGUAUUUUUAGUAGAGACGGGGUUUCUCCAUGUUGGUCAGGCUGGUCUCGAACUCCCGACCUCAGGUGAUCCGCCUGCCUUAGUCUCCCAAAGUGCUGGGAUUACAGGCGUGAACCACCGUGUCCGGCCCAUCAACUCUUUACCCAAUCAAUCUGGUGUUAUUAAAUCUGAUAUGUGACUGAUAUUUGAUCUAUGAUAACACUAUUUCUUACCAUCAUACAAAUUUCAUUCAAUGAACUGUAACCUCUUUCAGCUUCAAUAACCGGCCCAACAACUCUUUACCCAAUCAAUUUGGUGUUAUUAAAUCUGAUACGUGACUGAUAACUGAUC